This 215-nucleotide unclassified non-coding RNA is filed under the name Hevea brasiliensis (rubber tree). Lineage: Eukaryota; Viridiplantae; Streptophyta; Magnoliopsida; Malpighiales; Euphorbiaceae. The record is from RNAcentral.
GCCUUACUGAAUCUGUUAAACCGUGCUCUUGGUGACUACUCCAAAUCAUAUAAUGCCUUCUUUAAUCUACAGACUUUCCCUUUGGUCUUUUCAUCCUCAAAUCCUUGAGGAAUCUCCAUACACACACCUCUUCUAAAUCCCAUAUGUACUUCCUCUUCUAAAUCUCCAUGCAAAAAAGUAUUUUUAACAUCAAACUGUUGUAGGUCCUAUUCAAG